Molecule: long non-coding RNA, 545 nt
Organism: Tachyglossus aculeatus (Australian echidna)
Lineage: Eukaryota; Metazoa; Chordata; Mammalia; Monotremata; Tachyglossidae
Exons: 3
Source: RefSeq, a predicted model, not a curated record
GCAUUUUCAGGCUACAGGGCCCAACGGUGCUGAAGUUGGAUGAUAUUGGCCUCUCCCAAGUUCUUAGUACAGAGCUCAGCACCCAUGUUGUCACUGGAGUGAAUCAAAGCCUGCAGUCAGACGGCAAUGAAAGCUAAAAUGGAGAAGCCAUAGUGAUUCGGAGUAGCUGCGUCCAGGGAAGCUCUUUGGCGAACAAUGGCGUCCAUUCAGUAGUGGCCACUGGACCCCAAGAGAGAUACAACACGAUAGUUUUAGUGUCAUGAAGAUUCAGGAAGUGAUCGGAGAAAGCCACGAAUUCAACCCAAGUGGAUUUGAAAAAGUUCCCAAGGACUAAUUAUCACCCGACAACUCAGUGCUCUUACUGGAUAAUCAGGUUUCUCAUCAUUCCAUUAAUAAACUGUGGCUGCAUGUAGUUAGUGGUGAAGGGGAAGAUGCCACCACAGUGGAAUUAUGCCAAUUUUAGAGACAAAGAGAAAAUAAAAUUAAUCAGCCAACAUUUUUUUUCCAACCCUGGGGUCACUUUCAUAGCAAGAGGGAGGAAGAAA